Non-coding RNA from Phascolarctos cinereus (koala), 1547 nucleotides. Lineage: Eukaryota; Metazoa; Chordata; Mammalia; Diprotodontia; Phascolarctidae. The record is from RefSeq and is a predicted model, not a curated record.
AUCAGAAAUCUCUAUGUGAUGCUUUCCAGGGCCCAGCCCUCCAACAGAACAGGAUUGACAGGGCAGGGUGUCCACAGCUGGUUCCCAUCAACUGCAGAGAAAAGGCAGGCAGCCUGGAGAGAGGGGCCAUGUCCUCUUCUUCCCUGGAAAAGUGAGGCAACUAAGGCCCAGACAGAAGAACUGAUUACUUAAAGACACACACACAGAUUAUGUGUAUAUAACUCAGGACAGUGUCUGGCACAUCGGAGCUGCUUGAUGAACGUUCAUGACUAAUCCAAGAGGCACUCAGUGUUCAAAGGAGAUCAGGAAGCUUCUUCGCCCAUUGGAAGACACAGAUCCGAACUAGCCACGGAAUCUGAGGAGGCAGAGUCUGGCUGGCUCCAGCCUGACAGCUGGCCCCAAGACCCCACCAUUCUCCCUCAUUGCGCUGGCAGCCAGGGAUCCCUGAAAAGGAAGAACUGAGAAAUUCUUCUUCAUAAAAGGCCUUGAAUCAAUGAUCAAGGACAAUAUUAAUCCCAUCCUGACACAUUUUGAGCGGAGUCAAGCAAUAUAAGGGAGAAAUUUGAUUUAUCUCUUUGGGACUGGGCACAAGUUAUAAAAAUGGUAAUUUUUUCCAAGAGAUUCAAUUAUGGUAUUUUCAUUGUUAUCCCUAGGUAAUCAUGAGAAUGGUUUUUAAAGACCAGUUGCUGGAGGAUUGGGAGCAAAGUGGCAGCAGGAGGGAUCAGGAGAUGCUGCGGACACCCCAAGCCCCAUCUGUGUGGGAAAGAAAUGCUUCCUGGGGGCUUCAGGUUGGCAGAUGGCGGCACCUUUGGCCUUGAUCCCUUUGGUCAAUUCAACACCUACUGUAUGAGAGCCCUGUGGAGGGUCCUGGGGAGGGUUCAUAGAGGGUCUUUUCUGGAAGGAGUCCUAGAACGGAGAAUGCCAGUACGGAGAGACAGACCUCUGAGAGGCGACCCUCAUUUCACAGAUGCAGAAAUGGAGGCUCAGAAAGGAGGCAGCAUGUGCCCGAGUCCCCGCCACCCCCAGCCGGAUCCUUGGCACUGUCCUGAGCUGGCCUAACCUGUUUAUAUCUGUUUGUUUCUUGGAGAUGGUUGGAGUGGAGCUGAUUGGAUCUGCCCUGAUUAUUUCUGCGCCCAGAUGUAAUGACUCCACAUAAAGUCCCUGAGAUUAAUCAAGAAUGUGAGGAAACCGGCACCUGAUGAUUGGAAAACGGGCUUUAUGGCCCAUGGGGCAAAAUUGAACUUGCAUCUGAUGCACGUUUUUAAAAUAGAAUUUUUUUUUAAUAGAUUGCCUACAAUUUAUGUUUGGCGUUAAUUGUGUUAUCAGUGGGAAAUUCAUUGGAAGCCAUGUUUCCCUCUCCACCCCAGCAAACUUGAUUUUUCAAAAUCAUCUUCAUCUGAGACAGGCGUGCUAGGGCCUCGGGCAGCUGAGGUGUCUGAGCCAGAGGUGGCAGGUGGCAGGAUUAAUGUCAAGGUCAGUCCCCAGUGGGGGAUUCCAUUGCAGCAUGGCUCAGGCUAGCUGGCUGUUGGAAUCCACAGCCACUCAAA